UACGUAGGGACCGAGCGUUGUCCGGAUUCACUGGGCGUAAAGCGCACGUAGGCGGCGCCGUAAGUCAGGGGUGAAAUCCCGGAGCUCAACUCCGGAACUGCCCUUGAAACUGCAGUGCUAGAAUCUUGGAGAGGCGAGUGGAAUUCCGAGUGUAGAGGUGAAAUUCGUAGAUAUUCGGAAGAACACCAGUGGCGAAGGCGACUCGCUGGACAAGUAUUGACGCUGAGGUGCGAAAGCGUGGGGAGCAAACAGG
This 253-nucleotide ribosomal RNA is filed under the name uncultured bacterium. Its description in RNAcentral is "partial 16S ribosomal RNA". It matches the Rfam family "Bacterial small subunit ribosomal RNA", at positions 524 to 776 of the family's 1533-position model. The record is from RNAcentral.